GAGCGUUGUUCGGGAAUUAUUGGGCGUAAAGCGCGUGUAGGCGGUUUGAUAAGUCUGAAGUGAAAUCCUAUAGCUUAACUAUAGAACUGCUUUGAAAACUGUUAAUCUAGAAUGUGGGAGAGGUAGAUGGAAUUUCUGGUGUAGGGGUAAAAUCCGUAGAGAUCAGAAGGAAUACCGAUUGCGAAGGCGAUCUACUGGAACAUUAUUGACGCUGAGAUGCGAAAGCGUGGGGAGCAAACAGGAUUAGAUACCCUGGUAGUCCACGCCCUAAACGAUGUACACUAGUUGUUGUGAGGCUAGACCUUGCAGUAAUGCAGUUAACACAUUAAGUGUACCGCCUGGGGAGUACGGUCGCAAGAUUAAAACUCAAAGGAAUAGACGGGGACCCGCACAAGCGGUGGAGCAUGUGGUUUAAUUCGACGAUACACGAAGAACCUUACCUGGACUUGACAUAGUAAGAACUUUCUAGAGAUAGAUUGGUGUCUGCUUGCAGAAACUUAUAUACAGGUGCUGCACGGCUGUCGUCAGCUCGUGUCGUGAGAUGUUGGGUUAAGUCCCGCAACGAGCGCAACCCUAAUC
Molecule: ribosomal RNA, 579 nt
Filed under: uncultured Arcobacter sp.
Lineage: Bacteria; Pseudomonadati; Campylobacterota; Epsilonproteobacteria; Campylobacterales; Arcobacteraceae
Description: bacterial SSU rRNA
Rfam family: Bacterial small subunit ribosomal RNA
Source: RNAcentral